RNAcentral lists this long non-coding RNA (206 nucleotides) under Mytilus galloprovincialis (Mediterranean mussel). The record is from RNAcentral. Lineage: Eukaryota; Metazoa; Mollusca; Bivalvia; Mytilida; Mytilidae.
GCCGGUGAAAACCUCAAUUUUAAAGAAAAUACAGCAGUGUUUUAUGUUCUGACAAGAUGGCUAUACCUUUUGAAGUCAUUGCAAUAUAAACUAUACGUAUCUUGCAGGCAAAAAAUACCAUGAACCAGCCAAAAAAGAAGAAGAUAAACUUUCAAAAUACCAUAAUUAUUUUUCCUCUCAGCUUUUCCAAUUUCACGGUAUAAAUG